UUUCUAGACACUGAAGCAGGAAACCCUUUGGAAGUUAAUAUUUGUGUCAUUCUCAAAACUUUUGGCCACGACUGCACCCCUAGCCUCAACCACAACGACAACACUAACCCUAACUUCUUGUCCACAUCCUGGCUCAACACUACCCCUAGCCUCAACCACAACGACAACACUAACCCUAACUUCUUGUCCACAUCCUGGCUCAACACUACCCCUAGCCCCAACUACAACCCUAACACUAACCCUAACUUCUUGUCCACAUCCUGGCUCAACACUACCCCUAGCCUCAACUACAACCCUAACACUAACCCGAACUUCUUGUCCACAUCCUGGCUCAACACUACCCCUAGCCUCAACUACAACCCUAACACUAACCCUAACUUCUUGUCCACAUCCUGGCUCAACACUACCCCUAGCCUCAACUACAACCCUAACACUAACCCUAACUUCUUGUCCACAUCCUGGCUCAACACUACCCCUAGCCCCAACUACAACCCUAACACUAACGCUAACUUCUUGUCCACAUCCUGGCUCAACACUACCCCUAGCCUCAACUACAACCCUAACACUAACCCUAACUUCUUGUCCACAUCCUGGCUCAACACUACCCCUAGCCUCAACUACAACCCUAACACUAACCCUAACUUCUUGUCCACAUCCUGGCUCAACACUACCCCUAGCCUCAACUACAACCCUAACACUAACCCUAACUUCUUGUCCACAUCCUGGCUCAACACUACCCCUAGCCUCAACUACAACCCUAACACUAACCCUAACUUCUUGUCCACAUCCUGGCUCAACACUACCCCUAGCCCCAACUACAACCCUAACACUAACGCUAACUUCUUGUCCACAUCCUGGCUCAACACUACCCCUAGCCUCAACUACAACCCUAACACUAACCCUAACUUCUUGUCCACAUCCUGGCUCAACACUACCCCUAGCCUCAACUACAACCCUAACACUAACCCUAACUUCUUGUCCACAUCCUGGCUCAACACUACCCCUAGCCUCAACUACAACCCUAACACUAACCCUAACUUCUUGUCCACAUCCUGGCUCAACACUACCCCUAGCCUCAACUACAACCCUAACACUAACCCUAACUUCUUGUCCACAUCCUGGCUCAACACUACCCCUAGCCUCAACUACAACCCUAACACUAACCCUAACUUCUUGUCCACAUCCUGGCUCAACACUACCCCUAGCCUCAACUACAACCCUAACACUAACGCUAACUUCUUGUCCACAUCCUGGCUCAACACUACCCCUAGCCUCAACUACAACCCUAACACUAACCCUAACUUCUUGUCCACAUCCUGGCUCAACACUACCCCUAGCCUCAACUACAACCCUAACACUAACCAUGGAGUAUUGUACUAUAUCCUACUUGACUCUUUGAAUACCAUGAGGUGUUGGAGCUUGGCUUCAGGUAACACCAACUUAAUUUACCCACUGGUUUCAUCUGAGGUGUUCCAAUUUUCCCCAUACCAUCAUGGAUUUAUUAGAACUGUUCACCAGACAGACACAUUGUGCCUUUGUCAACAGGUAAAGGGAAAAUACACCGUUUUAAUUUCCUUCAGGAUUCUUUAUUGA
Molecule: long non-coding RNA, 1593 nt
Organism: Oncorhynchus mykiss (rainbow trout)
Lineage: Eukaryota; Metazoa; Chordata; Actinopteri; Salmoniformes; Salmonidae
Source: Ensembl